UAAAACUAUCGACAUAGACGAGCGGCGUCUGAUCCGGACGGCGAUCCGGGAGCUGCGGCGCUGUGAGAUUGAAGAAAUAGAGGCGGCGCUAACCAGCAAGCGCUUCAGACGUGCCCACCAGAACAGACAUGAGGAUAAAGAAAACCAGUGUCGUCCUGAUCUGACAGCUUCUUUAGACGUGCUGUCGGGGAAGAUUCAGGCUAUACAUGACAUUGAAGAACUUACUGGACUGUUACAAAGCGCCAGUGGAUAUGAAGAGAGAAAACUCAUUCGGGCAGCCAUUCGCCGGCUGAGAGAUGAGGAGAUACGAGGAGUGUUAGAGAAGGUUCAGACCGCUGGCCAGAGAACAGAGCGACGACAAAAUCCUCAAAGCAGCUUUGACCUGCAGG
Molecule: long non-coding RNA, 389 nt
Organism: Sinocyclocheilus grahami
Lineage: Eukaryota; Metazoa; Chordata; Actinopteri; Cypriniformes; Cyprinidae
Exons: 4
Source: RefSeq, a predicted model, not a curated record